AUUGAACGCUGGCGGCAUGCCUUACACAUGCAAGUCGAACGGCAGCACGGGAGCAAUCCUGGUGGCGAGUGGCGAACGGGUGAGUAAUAUAUCGGAACGUGCCCAGUCGUGGGGAUAACGUAGCGAAAGCUACGCUAAUACCGCAUACGAUCUAUGGAUGAAAGCGGGGGAUCGCAAGACCUCGCGCGAUUGGAGCGGCCGAUAUCAGAUUAGGUAGUUGGUGAGGUAAAGGCUCACCAAGCCGACGAUCUGUAGCUGGUCUGAGAGGACGACCAGCCACACUGGGACUGAGACACGGCCCAGACUCCUACGGGAGGCAGCAGUGGUGAAUUUUUGGACAAUGGGCGCAAGCCUGAUCCAGCAAUGCCGCGUGCAGGAUGAAGGCCUUC
This 389-nucleotide ribosomal RNA is filed under the name uncultured bacterium. Its description in RNAcentral is "bacterial SSU rRNA". It matches the Rfam family "Bacterial small subunit ribosomal RNA", at positions 30 to 419 of the family's 1533-position model. The record is from RNAcentral.